Trichonephila clavata is the source of this 73-nucleotide non-coding RNA. NCBI's taxonomy places the organism in Eukaryota, Metazoa, Arthropoda, Arachnida, Araneae, Nephilidae. The record is from the annotation of a GenBank genome assembly.
GGCUGGGUGGCAUAGUUGGUUUGGCGCUGGCCUUGGACGUCAAAAUUUGCUGGUUCAACCCCGGCCCAAGUUG